Molecule: long non-coding RNA, 855 nt
Filed under: Anas zonorhyncha (Eastern spot-billed duck)
Lineage: Eukaryota; Metazoa; Chordata; Aves; Anseriformes; Anatidae
Description: lncRNA (ENSAZOG00000013364.1)
Source: RNAcentral
GUUUUAUGCUAAUUAAAUAAAAUGUCCUUCCCUUUGCACCUCUCAGAGGCUGCUUCGCUUUCGGAAACCGCUUUUUGUGGGCGGCCUCAGCAGGUUGGGGAGCAGAGGGCAGCAGGCGAGGCUCAGACACCCAGCGCCGCUUCACCCAGUUUUACCUCCAGGAAAAAAAAAUAUAUAUAUAUAAAAUAAUAAUAAUUUCCUUUUUCUGCCCCUGCACCUGGCUCUGCUGCUCCCUGGGGACUGCUGGCAAUGGCACUGACAACGGUUUACACCGACCUGGAGUUGCCGCCGGGUCCCAGAGGCAUCCCACAGCUCCCAAAGCCUCCCGGUCGCCGGUGGUACUGGGUGAUAAUGGGAACCGGAUGGGUUGGGGCCGCCGUCCUGGCGGGCAUCGUGGUGUGGCUGCUGCAGCGACACGAUGGAAACAGCCUCAAUCCCACUGGCUCGUGCUCCUGGGAAUCCUGCCUGGGCAAGGACACCCCCAGCUCCAACUGCUCCCUGAACUACUUCCAGCUGGGGCUCAGAGAGCGGCUGUGCGAGGCCAAGAGCCACCAGACACCAGGUAGCCCACGCUGUUAUGGGGGUGUUGGCUUGCUUUGGGCCCCUCCAUGAAGAAAAUGGGGCCCAACGGUGAAGGAAAGCCCCCUUGGACUCCCCAUCCUGCUGCUUUCCCUCCGUGUUGUCACCUUUAUCCUUCCCCUCUCCAUGCACCCCUCUUUGUCCCUUCAACCUCUGCUCCUAUCCCUCCAACCCCAGCUUUCCCCCCAGUUCUCAUAAAGAUUUUUCUCCUAAAAAACAAAAGGGGUUGAGAAAAGCUUGGGAGGGACCUGGGGAGGGGUCUCCCAGCUUCGCCCC